This 500-nucleotide ribosomal RNA is filed under the name uncultured bacterium. RNAcentral's name for it is "partial 16S ribosomal RNA". It matches the Rfam family "Bacterial small subunit ribosomal RNA", at positions 29 to 523 of the family's 1533-position model. The record is from RNAcentral.
AUUGAACGCUGGCGGCAUGCCUUACACAUGCAAGUCGAACGGCAGCACGGACUUCGGUCUGGUGGCGAGUGGCGAACGGGUGAGUAAUGCAUCGGAACGUACCCGGUAGUGGGGGAUAACUACCCGAAAGGGUGGCUAAUACCGCAUAUACUGUGCGCAGGAAAGCAGGGGACCUUCGGGCCUUGUGCUACCGGAGCGGCCGAUGUCAGAUUAGGUAGUUGGUGGGGUAACGGCCUACCAAGCCUGCGAUCUGUAGCGGGUCUGAGAGGAUGAUCCGCCACACUGGGGCUGAGACACGGCCCAGACUCCUACGGGAGGCAGCAGUGGGGAAUUUUGGACAAUGGGCGCAAGCCUGAUCCAGCCAUGCCGCGUGAGUGAAGAAGGCCUUCGGGUUGUAAAGCUCUUUCGGACGGAAAGAAAUCGCGCAGGCUAAUACCCUGUGCGGAUGACGGUACCGUCAUAAGAAGCACCGGCUAACUACGUGCCAGCCGCCGCGGUAA